AAGUAAAAGUCGUAACAAGGUUUCCGUAGGUGAACCUGCGGAAGGAUCAUUAUUGAAAUAAACCUGAUGGGUUGUUGCUGGUUCUCUAGGGAGCAUGUGCACACCUUGUCAUCUUUAUAUCUCCACCUGUGCACUUUUUGUAGACCUUUCAGGUCUAUGUUGCUUCAUUUACCCCAAUGUAUGUUAAUAGAAUGUUGUGCCUAUAUAAUAUAUACAACUUUCAGCAACGGAUCUCUUGGCUCUCGCAUCGAUGAAGAACGCAGCGAAAUGCGAUAAGUAAUGUGAAUUGCAGAAUUCAGUGAAUCAUCGAAUCUUUGAACGCACCUUGCGCUCCUUGGUAUUCCGAGGAGCAUGCCUGUUUGAGUGUCAUUAAUAUAUCAACCUUCUCUUUUUUGAGUUGUUUGGAUGUGGGGGUUUGCUGGCCUCUUAAAUGAUUCAGCUCCCCUGAAAUGCAUUAGCAGAACAACCUGUUCAUUGGCGUGAUAAUUAUCUAUGCUAUUGAAUGUGAGGGCAGUUCAGCUUUCUAACCGUCCUCGGACAAUUCAUCAUUAAUGUGACCUCAAAUCAGGUAGGACUACCCGCUGAACUUAAGCAUAUC
Molecule: ribosomal RNA, 598 nt
Filed under: uncultured Cortinarius
Lineage: Eukaryota; Fungi; Basidiomycota; Agaricomycetes; Agaricales; Cortinariaceae
Description: eukaryotic LSU rRNA
Rfam family: 5.8S ribosomal RNA (bases 216-369)
Source: RNAcentral